AAAGUUUGAUCAUGGCUCAGAUUGAACGCUGGCGGCUUGCCUAACACAUGCAAGUCGAACGGUAACAGGAUCUGCUUGCACAUCGCUGACGAGUGGCGGACGGGUGAGUAAUGCUUGGGAACUUGCCUUUGCGAGGGGGAUAACUGUUGGAAACGACUGCUAAUACCGCAUAAUGUCUUCGGACCAAACGGGGCUUAGGCUCCGGCGCAAAGAGAGGCCCAAGUGAGAUUAGCUAGUUGGUAAGGUAACGGCUUACCAAGGCGACGAUCUCUAGCUGUUCUGAGAGGAAGAUCAGCCACACUGGGACUGAGACACGGCCCAUACUCCUACCGGAGGCAUCAGUGGGGAAUAUUGCACUAUGGGGGAAACCCUGAUGCAGCCCAUG
Molecule: ribosomal RNA, 385 nt
Filed under: uncultured gamma proteobacterium 400m-FREE-20
Lineage: Bacteria; Pseudomonadati; Pseudomonadota; Gammaproteobacteria
Description: bacterial SSU rRNA
Rfam family: Bacterial small subunit ribosomal RNA
Source: RNAcentral